CGGACGAAUUGUCCGCUGCCGCUGCCGUUCAUCGGCGCCGUCGCCGCCGGCGAGCGGCGCGGCUCUCCCUCUCUCUCUCGGCACUCUCUUCUUCCUAAACUCUCGUCCUCUCUCCUCUACUCUCUAUCUGCUGGAAACAGGACGCACGCCGCCGUCAAAGCGGUGCACCGUCGCUGCUGCCUCCGUCGCCCUCUCUCGGCCUCCGGCAAAGCAACCACCGCGGUGCCGCCGCCGUGAAGCAGGUAAAACCUAACUCCCUCUCUACUUUCCUCAUUUUCUUCUCCUUUUAAAUUAAAACUGAAAACUCCUCUCUCUCUCUUUCGAUUUGGCUGAAUCGGAGCAACGGCGACGUCACGGCUGUCACGUUACCGCCGCCGCCGCCGACGACGAGCCACCAUGGCUCCGCCGCUGACCGCCGUCUGGAAACAGAUCGGAAGCCACCGCGGCUCCGUCGCCGUCCGUUGACCACCGGCAGCCACCGCGGCUGCCGUCUCCCUCGGAUCUCACACAAAACAGGGGCUCACCCCAUAUUUCAGUCAAACACAUAGAAAUAGGCUUUUUACUGAAUUCAUUUUCAAAUACUGAAAAUGUUCUUCAAUCGAGCAUACUGCACUUAAACAUUCAUUCCUG
This is a long non-coding RNA of Salvia miltiorrhiza (redroot sage), 630 nucleotides long. RefSeq lists it as uncharacterized. Lineage: Eukaryota; Viridiplantae; Streptophyta; Magnoliopsida; Lamiales; Lamiaceae. The record is from RefSeq and is a predicted model, not a curated record. The transcript has 2 exons.